Molecule: ribosomal RNA, 196 nt
Filed under: uncultured bacterium
Lineage: Bacteria
Description: partial 16S ribosomal RNA
Rfam family: Bacterial small subunit ribosomal RNA
Source: RNAcentral
GCUGCAACUCGCCUGCGUGAAGUCGGAAUUGCUAGUAAUCGCAGAUCAGCAUGCUGCGGUGAAUACGUUCCCGGGCCUUGUACACACCGCCCGUCACACCAUGGGAGUCGGUAACACCCGAAGCCUGUAGUCUGACCUUUGGAGGACGCAGUCGAAGGUGGGAUCGAUGACUGGGGUGAAGUCGUAACAAGGUACC